UAGAGUUUGAUCCUGGCUCAGGACGAACGCUGGCGGCGUGCUUAACACAUGCAAGUCGAGCGGUAAGGCCCUUUCGGGGGUACACGAGCGGCGAACGGGUGAGUAACACGUGGGUGAUCUGCCCUGCACUCUGGGAUAAGCCUGGGAAACUGGGUCUAAUACCGGAUAUGAGCUCCUGCCGCAUGGUGGGGGUUGGAAAGGUUUACUGGUGCAGGAUGGGCCCGCGGCCUAUCAGCUUGUUGAUGGGGUAAUGGCCUACCAAGGCGACGACGGGUAGCCGGCCUGAGAGGGCGACCGGCCACACUGGGACUGAGACACGGCCCAGACUCCUACGGGAGGCAGCAGUGGGGAAUAUUGCACAAUGGGCGAAAGCCUGAUGCAGCGACGCCGCGUGAGGGAUGACGGCCUUCGGGUUGUAAACCUCUUUCAGCAGGGACGAAGCGAAAGUGACGGUACCUGCAGAAGAAGCACCGGCCAACUACGUGCCAGCAGCCGCGGUAAUACGUAGGGUGCGAGCGUUGUCCGGAAUUACUGGGCGUAAAGAGCUCGUAGGCGGUUUGUCGCGUCGUCUGUGAAACCCGCAGCUCAACUGCGGGCUUGCAGGCAAUACAAGCAGACUUGAGUACUGCAGGGGAAACUGGAAUCCCUGGUGUAGCGGUGAAAUGCCCCAAUAUCAGGAGGAACACGGUGGCGAAGGCGGGUCUCUGGGCANUAACUGACCCUAAGGAGCCAAACCUGGGUACCAAACGGAUAAUAUCCCCUGUAAUCCCCCCCUAACCUUGGGCACUAGUGGG
This 794-nucleotide ribosomal RNA is filed under the name uncultured Rhodococcus sp. RNAcentral describes it as "bacterial SSU rRNA". It matches the Rfam family "Bacterial small subunit ribosomal RNA", at positions 1 to 823 of the family's 1533-position model. Lineage: Bacteria; Bacillati; Actinomycetota; Actinomycetes; Mycobacteriales; Nocardiaceae. The record is from RNAcentral.